This is a long non-coding RNA of Humulus lupulus (European hop), 1233 nucleotides long. RefSeq lists it as uncharacterized. Lineage: Eukaryota; Viridiplantae; Streptophyta; Magnoliopsida; Rosales; Cannabaceae. The record is from RefSeq and is a predicted model, not a curated record. The transcript has 3 exons.
UAGGUAACAGUAAUUACAUUAGAGACGAAACAUGAAAACAGUAAAGUGGGGUUCAGCUUUGAAUUUUCUCAAUCAUAUUUUCAUGGGGUUCCAGACUGUUAGCUAUUGGUUCACAUAACUAAUGUCUAGGCUGUUUAUUCUUUGUAGUUAGUUAUUUCUGUUACUACUGUUUCAUCAAAACAGUUAGGAUAGCUAGCUAUAUAUAAAGACCUCUCGGUCUCAGGCUAAGUGCAACAGAUUGUAUUUUUCUUUAGUUUUCACUUGAGCUGUAACUCUGUACUAAGAGAGAGCAUAGUGAGUUUCUGUAACUAAGAUUCAAUACAAGAUCAAUAAAGUGACUAUUCAAAACCAGUUUCUGGUUUGGUGCAUCUUCCUUUGUGUUCUGUUUUUCUUCUUCCUAAACUAUUGAGAUUUGUUUCUAGUUCUUGUAACUGUGUUCUGUUUCUACUUUGUACUACACAGACUUAACUAAUAUGAUAUGUGUAGCCCAAAAUAGCUAAUUUUGAAGAAGUUGGUGAGCAUCAAAAAUGGAUUCUGAAAGUCUUAGACGUAUGUUUACCGUACUACACUUACUGUUCAUGUUCUUCUUGGCUCCAUUCAAAUCCAAAGCCCAAGCUGGUACUACUCUUCCACAGUAUGAAGUGGAAGCCAUUGGAGAAAUGGCUGAACAAUUGAACAAGAAAGACUGCAAAUCCACUACUGAUAUCCCAGGUACAGAUCAGUACAGCAAUGUUAUCAUCUGCAAAUGCUCCGUCUCUGCUACUGAGUGCCAUAUCCAAACCAUGUAAACUCCUCCCUUCCCUUCCCUUGCUCACUAUGGAAGCUACCUUACCUUAAGGAAGUGUAUGCAAAACCCUUUUAUUCCCCAUCAUAGCUCAUUCAAAUACUUUCAAGAUGCUAAUAGUAGCCUUCUUCUACCUUUUAGUAAUUUAAGCUGGAACUUCCUCAGUGGUUCAAUACCGCCAGAAUGGGCUUCAACAAAGUUGGAACGACUGCUCAUUAGUGUCAACAAUUUAGCAGGGCCAAUCCCUGGCUAUUUAGGAAACAUAACACACAGUUAAGCAACUUUCUUCCAAAUCAAAGCAAGGGAAUCGUGAAUUCAUAAAUGAAAUAGGCAUGGUUUCUGCUUUACAACACCCAAAUCUUGUCAAAUUACAUGGAUGUUGUAUUGAAGGAAAACAAUUGUUGUUGGUAUAUGAAUAUAUGGAGAACAGUAGCCUUGCUCAUUCUUUA